UAGAGUUUGAUCCUGGCUCAGAUGAACGCUGGCGGCGUGCUUAACACAUGCAAGUCGAACGGUAACAGGAAGCAGCUUGCUUCUUUGCUGACGAGUGGCGGACGGGUGAGUAAUGUCUGGGAAACUGCCUGAUGGAGGGGGAUAACUACUGGAAACGGUAGCUAAUACCGCAUAACGUCGCAAGACCAAAGAGGGGGACCUUCGGGCCUCUUGCCAUCGGAUGUGCCCAGAUGGGAUUAGCUAGUAGGUGGGGUAACGGCUCACCUAGGCGACGAUCCCUAGCUGGUCUGAGAGGAUGACCAGCCACACUGGAACUGAGACACGGUCCAGACUCCUACGGGAGGCAGCAGUGGGGAAUAUUGCACAAUGGGCGCAAGCCUGAUGCAGCCAUGCCGCGUGUAUGAAGAAGGCCUUCGGGUUGUAAAGUACUUUCAGCGGGGAGGAAGGGAGUAAAGUUAAUACCUUUGCUCAUUGACGUUACCCGCAGAAGAAGCACCGGCUAACUCCGUGCCAGCAGCCGCGGUAAUACGGAGGGUGCAAGCGUUAAUCGGAAUUACUGGGCGUAAAGCGCACGCAGGCGGUUUGUUAAGUCAGAUGUGAAAUCCCCGGGCUCAACCUGGGAACUGCAUCUGAUACUGGCAAGCUUGAGUCUCGUAGAGGGGGGUAGAAUUCCAGGUGUAGCGGUGAAAUGCGUAGAGAUCUGGAGGAAUACCGGUGGCGAAGGCGGCCCCCUGGACGAAGACUGACGCUCAGGUGCGAAAGCGUGGGGAGCAAAAAGGAUUAGAUUCCCUGGUAGUCCACGCCGUAAACCCCUAAAAGGUGGAGGUUGUGCCCUUGAGGCGUGGCUUCCGGAGCUAACGCGUUAAGUCGACCGCCCUGGAAG
This 883-nucleotide ribosomal RNA is filed under the name uncultured bacterium. RNAcentral's name for it is "bacterial SSU rRNA". It matches the Rfam family "Bacterial small subunit ribosomal RNA", at positions 9 to 873 of the family's 1533-position model. The record is from RNAcentral.